AGCGGAGAGAGGUAGCUUGCUACUGAUCUUAGCGGCGGACGGGUGAGUAAUGCUUAGGAAUCUGCCUAUUAGUGGGGGACAACAUCUCGAAAGGGAUGCUAAUACCGCAUACGUCCUACGGGAGAAAGCAGGGGAUCUUCGGACCUUGCGCUAAUAGAUGAGCCUAAGUCGGAUUAGCUAGUUGGUGGGGUAAAGGCCUACCAAGGCGACGAUCUGUAGCGGGUCUGAGAGGAUGAUCCGCCACACUGGGACUGAGACACGGCCCAGACUCCUACGGGAGGCAGCAGUGGGGAAUAUUGGACAAUGGGGGGAACCCUGAUCCAGCCAUGCCGCGUGUGUGAAGAAGGCCUUAUGGUUGUAAAGCACUUUAAGCGAGGAGGAGGCUACUUUAGUUAAUACCUAGAGAUAGUGGACGUUACUCGCAGAAUAAGCACCGGCUAACUCUGUGCCAGCAGCCGCGGUAAUACAGAGGGUGCAAGCGUUAAUCGGAUUUACUGGGCGUAAAGCGCGCGUAGGCGGCUAAUUAAGUCAAAUGUGAAAUCCCCGAGCUUAACUUGGGAAUUGCAUUCGAUACUGGUUAGCUAGAGUGUGGGAGAGGAUGGUAGAAUUCCAGGUGUAGCGGUGAAAUGCGUAGAGAUCUGGAGGAAUACCGAUGGCGAAGGCAGCCAUCUGGCCUAACACU
This 682-nucleotide ribosomal RNA is filed under the name Acinetobacter sp. GS07. RNAcentral's name for it is "bacterial SSU rRNA". It matches the Rfam family "Bacterial small subunit ribosomal RNA", at positions 65 to 741 of the family's 1533-position model. The record is from RNAcentral. Lineage: Bacteria; Pseudomonadati; Pseudomonadota; Gammaproteobacteria; Moraxellales; Moraxellaceae.